AAGCUCGUAGUUGAAUUUCGAAUGUGGCUGGGCGGUCCGCCUCACGGUGUGUACUGUCUGGCUGUGUUCUCUUUCUUGGUGAGCCGGCAUGCCCUUUACUGGGUGUGUUGGGGAACCAGGACGUUUACCUUGAGAAAAUUAGAGUGUUCAAAGCAGGCCUACGCCCGAAUACAUUAGCAUGGCAUAAUAAAAUAGGACGUGCGGUUCUACUUUGUUGGUUUCUAGAGCCGCAGUAAUGAUUAAUAGGGAUAGUUGGG
This 257-nucleotide ribosomal RNA is filed under the name uncultured Basidiomycota. Its description in RNAcentral is "partial 18S ribosomal RNA". It matches the Rfam family "Eukaryotic small subunit ribosomal RNA", at positions 624 to 886 of the family's 1831-position model. Lineage: Eukaryota; Fungi; Basidiomycota. The record is from RNAcentral.